Molecule: unclassified non-coding RNA, 339 nt
Filed under: soil metagenome
Description: partial contains 5.8S ribosomal RNA, internal transcribed spacer 2, and large subunit ribosomal RNA
Rfam family: 5.8S ribosomal RNA (bases 1-120)
Source: RNAcentral
GAUGAAGAACGUAGCGAAAUGCGAUAACUAAUGUGAAUUGCAGAAUUCAGUGAAUCAUCGAGUCUUUGAACGCACAUUGCGCCCCCUGGUAUUCCGGAGGGCAUGCCUGUCCGAGCGUCAUUGCUGCCCUCAAGCACGGCUUGUGUGUUGGGCUCCGUCCCCCCGGGGACGGGCCCGAAAGGCAGCGGCGGCACCGAGUCCGGUCCUCGAGCGUAUGGGGCUUUGUCACCCGCUCUGUAGGCCCGGCCGGCGCCAGCCGACAACCCAUCAUCCUUUUCAGGUUGACCUCGGAUCAGGUAGGGAUACCCGCUGAACUUAAGCAUAUCAAUAAGCGGAGGA